GAUAAACGCUGGCGGCGCACAUAAGACAUGCAAGUCGAACGAACUUAACCAUAAUGUUUACAUUAAGGAGCGGUUAGUGGCGGACUGGUGAGUAACACGUAAGUAAUCUGCCUAUCAGAGGGGAAUAACAAUGAGAAAUCAUUGCUAAUACCGCAUAUGCUAUAAGAUUCACAUGAAUCAAGUAGGAAAGGAGAAAUCCGCUGAUAGAUGAGCUUGCGUCUGAUUAGCUAGUUGGUGGGGUAAAGGCCGUACCAAGGCGACGAUCAGUAGCCGAGCUGAGAGGCUCAACGGCCACAUUGGGACUGAGAUACGGCCCAGG
Molecule: ribosomal RNA, 319 nt
Filed under: uncultured bacterium
Lineage: Bacteria
Description: bacterial SSU rRNA
Rfam family: Bacterial small subunit ribosomal RNA
Source: RNAcentral